GCGGGUGUAGCUCAAUGGUAGAGCCUCAGCCUUCCAAGCUGAUGGUGCGGGUUCGAUUCCCGUCACCCGCUCCA
This 74-nucleotide transfer RNA is filed under the name Actinocatenispora rupis. RNAcentral's name for it is "tRNA-Gly". It matches the Rfam family "tRNA". From Rfam's summary of the family: Transfer RNA (tRNA) molecules are approximately 80 nucleotides in length. Their secondary structure includes four short double-helical elements and three loops (D, anti-codon, and T loops). The record is from RNAcentral. Lineage: Bacteria; Bacillati; Actinomycetota; Actinomycetes; Micromonosporales; Micromonosporaceae. RNAcentral also lists the same sequence under 4 other names.